Molecule: ribosomal RNA, 1542 nt
Filed under: Salmonella enterica subsp. enterica serovar Muenchen
Lineage: Bacteria; Pseudomonadati; Pseudomonadota; Gammaproteobacteria; Enterobacterales; Enterobacteriaceae
Also listed under: 6 other names
Description: bacterial SSU rRNA
Rfam family: Bacterial small subunit ribosomal RNA
Source: RNAcentral
AAAUUGAAGAGUUUGAUCAUGGCUCAGAUUGAACGCUGGCGGCAGGCCUAACACAUGCAAGUCGAACGGUAACAGGAAGCAGCUUGCUGCUUCGCUGACGAGUGGCGGACGGGUGAGUAAUGUCUGGGAAACUGCCUGAUGGAGGGGGAUAACUACUGGAAACGGUGGCUAAUACCGCAUAACGUCGCAAGACCAAAGAGGGGGACCUUCGGGCCUCUUGCCAUCAGAUGUGCCCAGAUGGGAUUAGCUUGUUGGUGAGGUAACGGCUCACCAAGGCGACGAUCCCUAGCUGGUCUGAGAGGAUGACCAGCCACACUGGAACUGAGACACGGUCCAGACUCCUACGGGAGGCAGCAGUGGGGAAUAUUGCACAAUGGGCGCAAGCCUGAUGCAGCCAUGCCGCGUGUAUGAAGAAGGCCUUCGGGUUGUAAAGUACUUUCAGCGGGGAGGAAGGUGUUGUGGUUAAUAACCACAGCAAUUGACGUUACCCGCAGAAGAAGCACCGGCUAACUCCGUGCCAGCAGCCGCGGUAAUACGGAGGGUGCAAGCGUUAAUCGGAAUUACUGGGCGUAAAGCGCACGCAGGCGGUCUGUCAAGUCGGAUGUGAAAUCCCCGGGCUCAACCUGGGAACUGCAUUCGAAACUGGCAGGCUUGAGUCUUGUAGAGGGGGGUAGAAUUCCAGGUGUAGCGGUGAAAUGCGUAGAGAUCUGGAGGAAUACCGGUGGCGAAGGCGGCCCCCUGGACAAAGACUGACGCUCAGGUGCGAAAGCGUGGGGAGCAAACAGGAUUAGAUACCCUGGUAGUCCACGCCGUAAACGAUGUCUACUUGGAGGUUGUGCCCUUGAGGCGUGGCUUCCGGAGCUAACGCGUUAAGUAGACCGCCUGGGGAGUACGGCCGCAAGGUUAAAACUCAAAUGAAUUGACGGGGGCCCGCACAAGCGGUGGAGCAUGUGGUUUAAUUCGAUGCAACGCGAAGAACCUUACCUGGUCUUGACAUCCACGGAAGUUUUCAGAGAUGAGAAUGUGCCUUCGGGAACCGUGAGACAGGUGCUGCAUGGCUGUCGUCAGCUCGUGUUGUGAAAUGUUGGGUUAAGUCCCGCAACGAGCGCAACCCUUAUCCUUUGUUGCCAGCGGUCCGGCCGGGAACUCAAAGGAGACUGCCAGUGAUAAACUGGAGGAAGGUGGGGAUGACGUCAAGUCAUCAUGGCCCUUACGACCAGGGCUACACACGUGCUACAAUGGCGCAUACAAAGAGAAGCGACCUCGCGAGAGCAAGCGGACCUCAUAAAGUGCGUCGUAGUCCGGAUUGGAGUCUGCAACUCGACUCCAUGAAGUCGGAAUCGCUAGUAAUCGUGGAUCAGAAUGCCACGGUGAAUACGUUCCCGGGCCUUGUACACACCGCCCGUCACACCAUGGGAGUGGGUUGCAAAAGAAGUAGGUAGCUUAACCUUCGGGAGGGCGCUUACCACUUUGUGAUUCAUGACUGGGGUGAAGUCGUAACAAGGUAACCGUAGGGGAACCUGCGGUUGGAUCACCUCCUUA